RNAcentral lists this unclassified non-coding RNA (230 nucleotides) under air metagenome. RNAcentral's name for it is "partial contains small subunit ribosomal RNA, internal transcribed spacer 1, and 5.8S ribosomal RNA". The stretch from base 1 to 46 matches the Rfam family "Eukaryotic small subunit ribosomal RNA", at positions 1786 to 1831 of the family's 1831-position model. The record is from RNAcentral.
AAGUCGUAACAAGGUCUCCGUUGGUGAACCAGCGGAGGGAUCAUUACAGAGUUAUUACAACUCCUAAACCCAUGUGAACUUACCAUUGUUGCCUCGGCAGAAGUUACCCUGUAACGGAGUUACCCUGUAGCGUUCUGCCGGUGGAUUUUAAAACUCUUGUUAUUUUUAUAUAUAUCUGAGCGUCUUAUUUUAAUAAGUCAAAACUUUCAACAACGGAUCUCUUGGUUCUG